AUUGAACGCUGGCGGCAGGCCUAACACAUGCAAGUCGAGCGGAUGAAGGGAGCUUGCUCCUGGAUUCAGCGGCGGACGGGUGAGUAAUGCCUAGGAAUCUGCCUGGUAGUGGGGGAUAACGUCCGGAAACGGGCGCUAAUACCGCAUACGUCCUGAGGGAGAAAGUGGGGGAUCUUCGGACCUCACGCUAUCAGAUGAGCCUAGGUCGGAUUAGCUAGUUGGUGGGGUAAAGGCCUACCAAGGCGACGAUCCGUAACUGGUCUGAGAGGAUGAUCAGUCACACUGGAGCUGAGACACGGUCCAGACUACUACGGGAGGCAGCAGUGGGGAAUGUUGGACAAUGGGCGGAAACCUGGUCCAGCCAUGCCGCGUGUGUGAAGAAGGUCUUCGGAUUGUAAAGCACUUUAAGUUGGGAGAAAGGGCAGUAAGUUAAUACCUUGCUGUUUUGACGUUACCAACAGAAUAAGCACCGGCUAACUUCGUG
RNAcentral lists this ribosomal RNA (484 nucleotides) under uncultured bacterium. RNAcentral's name for it is "partial 16S ribosomal RNA". It matches the Rfam family "Bacterial small subunit ribosomal RNA", at positions 30 to 507 of the family's 1533-position model. The record is from RNAcentral.